ACUAAAUCAAAUUUCUCAUGUCAUUUCUUAGGUGCCUGCUUCAAAUCAUAAAAAGAUUUCAUCAACUUGCACACCUUGUGUUCAUUCCGAGGUAAUGUAAAUCAUUCGAAGUUGUUCCAUAUAGACCUCCUCAUCGAGAUGUUUAUUUAGGAAUGUUGUUUAAACAUUCAUUUGAUGAACAUGCAAGUCAUAUAUUGAAGUUAAAGAAAAUAAAAUCCUAAUCGAUGUUAUUCUAGCUACCGGUGCAUAAGUAUCAAAAUAGUCGAUUCCUUCCUUUUGUCGAUAUCUUUUGGUUAAGAAUCUAGCCUUGAAGGCAUUUAGAGAUCCAUCAACAUUGUAUUUUCUCCUAAAUACCCAUUUGCAUCCAAUAAGUUUGGAUCUCAUUGGUAAAUCAGCAAGUUCCCAAGUAUUAUUGGAUAUUAUCGAAUCCAUUUCAUCCUUGAUUGCAUCCUUCUAAAAGACGUUGUCACGUGAAGCCUAGCUUCUUUAUAAGUCUUAGUUCCAGUUUCUAUUUGUAGAACAAAAAGAAUUGUUCUUACAACAUUCAACUCGUUUCCCUCCACUAGGUAAAAGAAGAUAAGUUGAGAAUCGAUUUCAUCCUGUCCCAAAGAUUUCUCAACUCGAGUUUUCUUGCUUCUUCGUGGUUCACUAGAUUCAUCAACAUCUUUAGAAGACAUUUCAUCAUGUGUUCCACUUAAGCUAAUGAUAUUUUUAAGAUUUUCCCUCAAUUAAUUAUUCGAAGAUAACAAAUUCUCAAAGAACUCCAUAUUGUUGGAUUUGAUAAUCACAUUGGACUCCAAAUUCAACAAUCUAUAAGAUUUUCUAUUAUUCGAAUAUCCCACAAAUGCACAUUUAAUGUCUCUUGGAAUUUGGCCCUAUUCGGAUUCGUGUUCUUGCAAUAAGUAAGACACCCCCACCCUUUGAAGUAUUCAAUGUUCAUUUUUCUUCCUUUUCGCAAGUCAUGAGAAGAAACCUUAGUAUAUUUCGAAGGAAUCCUAUUAUGUAUCCUACAUUCACUUAAUAAAAUUUCACCCCACAAGAUAAAUGGAACCUUAUCAAGAAUAAGCAUGGCAUUAACAAUUUCAACUAAGGUUCUAUUUUUUCUUUCAGCCAAGCCAUUUUGUUCGGGUGUCGUAGGUGCAGAACAUUGGUGAAUAAUUUCAUGUUGUUCACAAAACAAGUUAAAAUCGCUGAAAAAAUAUUCACCACCUUUAUUACUUCUUAAGGUCAAAUUUUCUUUCCUAGAUAAUUUUCAAAUUCGUUUUUG
Molecule: long non-coding RNA, 1267 nt
Filed under: Olea europaea subsp. europaea
Lineage: Eukaryota; Viridiplantae; Streptophyta; Magnoliopsida; Lamiales; Oleaceae
Source: RNAcentral